AUGGCAGGGAAGGAGGAAGCUGCUCUGAAACCUGUAUCAUGUGGGGCAAGGUUACGUAGGAGUCGUGAUGCAUCACUAAGAGAAGAAGUGUCCAUGAGGGACCCUUUCUUGAAGCACAGAGUGAAGAAGUUUGAUCUAUCUAGCCUAGAUUGGAUUGAUCAGAUUCCAGAAUGCCCAGUGUUUUCUCCAUCGGUGGAGGAGUUCGAGGAUCCAUUUGUUUAUCUCAGUAAAAUUGCCCCUGUUGCUGCAAAAUAUGGUAUAUGCAAGAUUGUUUCACCUAUAUGUGCUUCUGUACCUGUUGGCACUGUACUUAUGAAGGAACAAGGUGGGCUGAAGUUUACUACCAGAGUGCAGCCUCUCCGUCUUGCUGAAUGGUCCACGGAUGACAAGUUUGCUUUCUUCAUGAGCGGAAGAAAGUACACAUUUCGAGAUUUUGAGAAGAUAGCAAAUAAAGGAUUUGUUCGAAGAUACUCUAGUUCUGCCUGUCUUCCAGCAAGGUAUAUGGAGGAAGAAUUUUGGCAUGAAAUAGCAUUUGGCAAGAUGGAAUCCGUUGAGUAUGCAUGCGAUAUUGAUGGUAGUGCAUUCUCUUCUUCUCCUAAUGACCAACUUGGGAGAAGCAAAUGGAACUUGAAGAAACUUUCUCGGUUGUCCAAAUCAAUCCUGCGCCUUCUCAGAACAGCAAUUCCAGGAGUAACUGACCCAAUGCUGUAUAUCGGAAUGCUCUUUAGUAUGUUUGCCUGGCACGUGGAAGACCAUUACUUGUACAGCAUUAACUAUCAUCACUGUGGUGCUUCAAAAACAUGGUAUGGGAUCCCAGGAAAAGCUGCUCCAGAUUUUGAGAAAGUGGUACGUGAGCAUGUAUAUGAUCAUGAAAUUUUAUCAGGUGAAGGGGAAACUGCAGCAUUUGAUAUCCUUUUGGGGAAGACAACAAUGUUCCCUCCAAAUAUUCUGCUCCAUCAUCACGUUCCAGUUUAUAGAGCUAUACAGAAACCGGGAGAGUUUGUGAUCACGUUUCCUCGAGCAUAUCAUUCAGGUUUCAGCCAUGGUUUUAACUGCGGCGAGGCAGUGAAUUUCGCUGUUGGUGAAUGGUUUCCUCUUGGAGCAAUUGCUAGUCAACGUUAUGCACUUCUAAAGAGGAUACCAUUACUGCCUUAUGAGGAACUUCUUUGUAAAGAGGCAGCACUUCUUGAUCAUGAAUUUUCUACACCUAGUUAUAAAGAUUUGACAACAUCAACUGGAGAUACACACAUUCAGCAUUGUAUGAAAGUCCCUUUUGUGCAGUUGAUGCGGCUCCAGCAUUGUGUCCGUUGGUCACUUAUGAAAAUGGGUGCUCGCACGCACUAUAAAGCAGAUAUUGAUGCCACAGUUCUCUGUAGCAUAUGUAAACGUGACUGCUAUGUAGCCCAUGUUAUGUGUAACUGCAGAGUUGAUGCAAUUUGCCUUUGUCAUGAGGAAGAGAUUAGGAAGUGCCCUUGCAGCCAUGAUCGUGCUGUAUUUGUGAGAAAAGACAUUAUUGAGUUGGAGGCACUGUCAAAAAAGUUUGAAGAGGAAAAGGGAAUAGUCAAUGCUGUCAGAAAGCAAAUGUCUCGUGGCUCUAGCACACAUUCUUAUUUCAACCGCAUUAGUCACAAUGCUGAAUACUUCCCAUACUGCAAGAUUCACAUAGAUGCACCACCUGAAGUUCAUAGCAUUUCAGAGACACAUGUUUUUGGAUAUGAUCUGAACAAGCCAUAUCCUGAUGCAUCAACAAUAACAUUUUGUUUUGGACCCCAUGAGUAUUCUACACAAAGUGAUGAGUGCACAAGUACUAACAGAAGGAUCUUCGCUAGCUCUUGUCCUGAGAAUGGAUUUACUCCUCAAACCACAAUCAUUAAUGCAUACCCUUCGUCUGCGCCUGAUCAAACAUGCUCUUCUGAAAAAUUGGCUGCAGAAGAUGCUGAUGAUUCUGACUGUGAGGUAUUUAGGGUGAAGAGAAGGUCUGGCAUAACUCCUGAGAGAAGGCAUACAGAAGAUUCAACCAUAACAACUUUCACAGGGAAUCAGGUAUUAAAACGGUUGAAGAAAAUCCAUGCAGAUGACAGACAACAACAGAAGUUAGUGGAAGUAUCCUGUGGCACAAUUGAUCAUGUCCAUACCCAUCAUUCUAGACAUUGUCUUGACUUUAUUUCUGGAAAUGGAGAUGACUCAGUACAUCCAACCAAAUUGAAGAUGUUACAUCAACUAGAUGCAAAUAUCAUGGAGGAUGAAUUUGCCUCCAGCCAAAAACAUAAUGGCUGCAACUACCUAUCUCCAUCUGUAGAGCUUGGGCCAAAGCGCUUGAAAAUUCUUGGCCCAUCAUUUCCCAGAGGGAAUCAUGAGCUGGAAAUCUCUUGUAGAUUCCAGGAGGACAGUGACUUGGCUAGUCACCAUGCUCGAUGA
This 2418-nucleotide ribosomal RNA is filed under the name Triticum aestivum (bread wheat). RNAcentral describes it as "partial small subunit ribosomal RNA". The record is from RNAcentral. Lineage: Eukaryota; Viridiplantae; Streptophyta; Magnoliopsida; Poales; Poaceae.